Molecule: ribosomal RNA, 254 nt
Filed under: uncultured bacterium
Lineage: Bacteria
Description: partial 16S ribosomal RNA
Rfam family: Bacterial small subunit ribosomal RNA
Source: RNAcentral
UACGGGGGGAGCAAGCGUUGUUCGGAUUUACUGGGCGUAAAGGGCGCGUAGGCGGCCACCGCAAGUCAAUUGUGAAAUCUCCGGGCUUAACUCGGAAAGGUCAACUGAUACUGCGGGGCUAGAGUGCGGAAGGGGCAACUGGAAUUCUCGGUGUAGCGGUGAAAUGCGUAGAUAUCGAGAGGAACACCUGCGGCGAAGGCGGGUUGCUGGGCCGACACUGACGCUGAGGCGCGAAAGCUAGGGUAGCAAACGGG